RNAcentral lists this ribosomal RNA (328 nucleotides) under uncultured eukaryote. Its description in RNAcentral is "partial 18S ribosomal RNA". It matches the Rfam family "Eukaryotic small subunit ribosomal RNA", at positions 1470 to 1796 of the family's 1831-position model. The record is from RNAcentral.
CCCUUAGAUGUUCUGGGCUGCACGCGCGCUACACUGAUGCGCUCAACGAGUUUAUGACCUUGCCCGGAAGGGUUGGGUAAUCUUUUCAAAACGCAUCGUGAUGGGGAUAGAUUAUUGCAAUUAUUAAUCUUCAACGAGGAAUUCCUAGUAAGCGCGAGUCAUCAGCUCGUGCUGAUUACGUCCCUGCCCUUUGUACACACCGCCCGUCGCUCCUACCGAUUGGGUGUGCUGGUGAAAUGUUCGGAUCGGCCGUUUGUCGCGGUUUCCGCGUCAUGUGGCUGAGAAGUUCAUUAAACCCUCCCACCUAGAGGAAGGAGAAGUCGUAACA